GGGGAAUAUUGCACAAUGGAGGAAACUCUGAUGCAGCGAUGCCGCGUGAGGGAAGAAGGUUUUCGGAUUGUAAACCUCUGUGUACAGGGACGAUAAUGACGGUACCUGUUCAAAAAGCUCCGGCUAACUACGUGCCAGCAGCCGCGGUAAUACGUAGGGAGCGAGCGUUGUCCGGAAUUACUGGGUGUAAAGGGAGUGUAGGCGGGACGGCAAGUCAGAUGUGAAAUUUAGGGGCUCAACCCCUGACCUGCAUUUGAAACUGCUGUUCUUGAGUGAAGUAGAGGUAAGCGGAAUUCCUAGUGUAGCGGUGAAAUGCGUAGAUAUUAGGAGGAACAUCAGUGGCGAAGGCGGCUUACUGGGCUUUAACUGACGCUGAGGCUCGAAAGCGUGGGGAGCAAACAGGAUUAGAUACCCUGGUAGUCCACGCCGUAAACGAUGAUUACUAGGUGUGGGGGGACUGACCCCUUCCGUGCCGCAGUUAACACAAUAAGUAAUCCACCUGGGGAGUACGGUCGCAAGACUGAAACUCAAAGGAAUUGACGGGGGCCCGCACAAGCAGUGGAGUAUGUGGAUUAAUUCGAAGCAACGCGAAGAACCUUACCAGGUCUUGACAUCGAUCGAAUCCGAAAGAGAUUUUGGAGUGCCCUUCGGGGAACGUGAAGACAGGUGGUGCAUGGUUGUCGUCAGCUCGUGUCGUGAGAUGUUGGGUUAAGUCCCGCAACGAGCGCAACCCUUAUGUUUAGUUGCUACGCAAGAGCACUCUAGACAGACUGCCGUUGACAAAACGGAGGAAGGUGGGGAUGACGUCAAAUCAUCAUGCCCCUUAUGACCUGGGCCUCACACGUACUACAAUGGCUGUAAACAGAGGGAAGCUAAGCAGUGAUGUGGAGCAAAUCCCCAAAAGCAGUCUUAGUUCGGAUUGUAGGCUGCAACCCGCCUACAUGAAGUCGGAAUUGCUAGUAAUCGCGGAUCAGCAUGUCGCGGUGAAUACGUUCCCG
RNAcentral lists this ribosomal RNA (998 nucleotides) under uncultured bacterium. Its description in RNAcentral is "bacterial SSU rRNA". It matches the Rfam family "Bacterial small subunit ribosomal RNA", at positions 356 to 1376 of the family's 1533-position model. The record is from RNAcentral.